UCCCUGGUGGUCCAGUGGUUAAGACUCUGAGCUUCCACUGCAGAGGGAGCAGGUUCAAUCCCUGGUCGGGGAA
RNAcentral lists this transfer RNA (73 nucleotides) under Bos taurus (domestic cattle). It matches the Rfam family "tRNA". Rfam says of the family: Transfer RNA (tRNA) molecules are approximately 80 nucleotides in length. Their secondary structure includes four short double-helical elements and three loops (D, anti-codon, and T loops). The record is from Rfam by way of RNAcentral. RNAcentral also lists the same sequence under 4 other names. Lineage: Eukaryota; Metazoa; Chordata; Mammalia; Artiodactyla; Bovidae.